UACAGAGGGUGCAAGCGUUGUUCGGAAUUACUGGGCGUAAAGCGAGUGUAGGCGGCUUAUUAAGUCAGAUGUGAAAUCCCUUGGCUCAACUGAGGAACUGCAUCUGAAACUGGUAAGCUUGAGUGUCGGAGGGGAUGGUAGAAUUCCUGGUGUAGAGGUGAAAUUCGUAGAUAUCAGGAGGAAUACCUGUGGCGAAGGCGACCAUCUGGAAGACAACUGACGCUGAGACUCGAAAGCGUGGGUAGCAAAC
Molecule: ribosomal RNA, 250 nt
Filed under: uncultured bacterium
Lineage: Bacteria
Description: partial 16S ribosomal RNA
Rfam family: Bacterial small subunit ribosomal RNA
Source: RNAcentral